CGAAACAGGAGCUGUAGAACACUCUUGUUCAGAUCCAGAAAAUGCCAGGCUCAUCCACUGCUUCCCACGCCAACAUCAGUGAUCCUGACCUCUAUCUUGUCACUGGACUCUGAUGACUCUGGAAGAGAGAAUGAGACUGAUGUCUUUGUCUAAUUCUGCUCACUUGAAUUCAAUUCAUGCACAAGAGAAGAGCCAUGAUGUCAUUGAUCCUCUUUGGAAAUGAAGGACAAAUAACAACAAAGCCUGAUCUAUGUCUCACAGGAAGAGGGGGAUUCUGUAAGAUAAAUAGAACUACAAAGAGAAUACAACUCUCAAGGAAAAACUUUGGGGAUUAAACCACCUGGAACUGGGAAAUUGAUAUUUCCUCCACCUUCAUAUGGAACCAUGAGCCCAGUGAAAAAUUAGAAAUAAUGCUUUGGAACGUAUGGUUAAUAAAAUAUUUCAUUGUGGUUAUUGCUUGUUCUUUACAAGAAGGCAUUUGACUAUGUAGAACAAAAUGCUUCCUUGAAGAUUCUCCUCCAAAAAGGUACU
Long non-coding RNA from Monodelphis domestica (gray short-tailed opossum), 531 nucleotides. RefSeq lists it as uncharacterized. Lineage: Eukaryota; Metazoa; Chordata; Mammalia; Didelphimorphia; Didelphidae. The record is from RefSeq and is a predicted model, not a curated record.